CCUACGGGUUGCACCAGUGAGGAAUAUUGGACAAUGGGUGGAAGCCUGAUCCAGCCAUCCCGCGUGCAGGAAGACGGCCCUAUGGGUUGUAAACUGCUUUUAUCUGGGGAUAAACCUACUUACGUGUAAGUAGCUGAAGGUACCAGAAGAAUAAGCACCGGCUAACUCCGUGCCAGCAGCCGCGGUAAUACGGAGGGUGCAAGCGUUAUCCGGAUUUAUUGGGUUUAAAGGGUCCGUAGGCGGACUAGCAAGUCAGUGGUGAAAUCCGACAGCUUAACUGUCGAACUGCCAUUGAUACUGCUAGUCUUGAGUAAGGUUGAAGUGGCUGGAAUAAGUAGUGUAGCGGUGAAAUGCAUAGAUAUUACUUAGAACACCAAUUGCGAAGGCAGGUCACUAAGUCUUAGCUGACGCUGGUGGACGAAAGCGAGGGGAGCGAACAGGAUUAGAUACCCUCGUAGUC
RNAcentral lists this ribosomal RNA (460 nucleotides) under uncultured bacterium. RNAcentral describes it as "bacterial SSU rRNA". It matches the Rfam family "Bacterial small subunit ribosomal RNA", at positions 338 to 795 of the family's 1533-position model. The record is from RNAcentral.